GCUUUCGCACUUCCGCUUCCGACGGUGUGAGCGGGACGCGCGGCGUGGUGUGGUGUUCCGUAGCGAUGGCGGCCGGCGGUAGCGACCCGCGGGCCGGCGACGUAGAGGAGGAUGCCUCACAGCUUAUCUUUCCCAAAGAGUUUGAAACAGCUGAGACACUACUCAAUUCAGAAGUUCAUAUGCUUCUGGAGCAUCGAAAGCAGCAGAAUGAGAGUGCGGAGGAUGAGCAGGAACUUUCUGAGGUCUUCAUGAAAACUUUAAAUUACACAGCCCGUUUCAGUCGUUUCAAAAACAGAGAGACCAUUGCCAGUGUCCGUAGCCUGUUGCUCCAGAAGAAGCUUCAUAAGUUUGAGUUGGCCUGUUUGGCCAACCUUUGCCCAGAGACUGCGGAGGAGUCGAAGGCUCUGAUCCCGAGCCUGGAGGGGCGGUUUGAAGAUGAGGAGCUACAGCAGAUUCUUGAUGACAUCCAGACCAAGCGCAGCUUUCAGUACUGAUCUCCAGAUACCAUUCUGCUGAGGGAACUGCAUCCGCCGUCCCAGGGGCUCUGGAGCUGCCUUAAAAGAAAUUCUAUUGCAGAAGACACUUGGGUUUCCUUCGGACAGAACAACCCAGCUUUGUCUUGAUUUAGGACUUGUCUUUGUGUUGGACUUGACUGUUGGACCAUGAUAACCUGACCUUGCCUCUCAGAAUGGGGAGAUGGGGUGAUGCGCAUGUAAGGCCAGACUUGAAGGUCUGACGCUUUUUGAAGAGUCCUUGUCUGGGACACCCAGUCCAAACCUCUGGCUUGCUGCCCAGCUGUGGGUGCUCUCUGCUGGGGUAACCUGCAAAGAGGGGAUCACCUGCAAGGAGGGCUCCCUCCUCUUUGGGGGCCACCACAAGGCAGGCUGUCGCGGUAAAGCUCGUUGGGAAACGCCUUUAGCAGCUGCACAUGCAAGCAUGGUGCCGUAGCCACGUUGUAGCUGGUGAGAUUUAUCCACGGCACACAUACUGCUCACUGGAAGGGAAAAAUAGCUAAACAUUCUAGCUUUGAUAUUUCUGAAAGGAAACAUGCCUAUUUACUUCACAAUUUGGAGAUUUUUCUUUGGAGCACUUGUUGGCUCCAAAUGAAUAUGUGAUCCAAAAAAAAAGUUGGAAAGACAACAAACUUACCUUUUUCUUUUUUUAAAUAGGUGCCAUAUCCGUUGUCGGACUUGAACUCCUGACUCGGAGAUUAAGAGUCGCAUACUCUACCGACUGAGCUUGCCAGAGGCCCCAACAAAGUUAGCUUUUAAAAGUUAAGAUAGUUUGGGGUCCCUGGCUGACUCAGUAGAGCAUAUGAUUCUUGAUCUUGGGGUUGUGAGUUCAAGCCUCAUGUGGUGGAGAGUUUACUUAAAAAUAAAAUUUAAAUUUAAAAAAGUAGUUUGAUAUGUGCUGGCUAAGGCAAAAAUAAACUUUUAUAAAUUCUUUCAGUUUCUGAAAUGCCAUGGUUUAUAAGUCACCAGUAUUCUUAGUAUUUGAAGGAAAUCAUCUUUUCAUCCUUGGCAUUUUCACUUCUUUGAGACUCAUCAGUGUUCUGAGUUAUAAAAUGUAUAUAACAAUAGUACUUAUUCCAUAGAUAGUUUUGAGAAGAUUACUAAAGAGAGUCUAAUUAGCAUCUGACAUAUAUUAUGCCCCAAUAAAUGUUAGCUCAUAUUAGGAUCUCGGUCAGAGAGCACGUGUACAUAGGUGGUUAGCUUGCUUCAUAGAAAUUAGUGCAGGACUUGAGUAGCACACUGCUGGUGCUGGUGUCAGGCUAUGAAAACCAAAUUACUUCGAUCCAUAGAAUUGUUUUUAAAGAGAGGCAGUAACAUGUGCCACCAAGUAGUUGCACAGACAGAAGAGCCCUGGAAAACAGACCUCAGGGACCUCCAGGCCUACGGGCAGUGCGGUGGCACCCGUGUGCUGCUAAUCUGUGAGCUACCUGCGAGUGCUGAGGCAUGUCAUGGGCCCGGCAUAGAGCUGGGCGCUGAUAAAUGGUAGUAAGGUGAUCAGACGUAGUAGGAGAAAAGAACAUUUUAGCGAACUAUUUGUAAGAGCUCUGUGAUGUUCAAAGAUUCAAAGUCUGGUUAACAUUCUGCUGGACAUUGUUUCGUAGGGUCCCAGACUACGUCAUACAGAAUCCUUAGGAGGUCGUCAGAAUCUAAUCAACUAUGAAACAUUGUGAGGCUCACUGCACUGUAUUUGCAAAAGCAGAAACAAAAUCUACUGAGCAGUAAAGCUGAAAGAUGUCAAGAUGUCAAACCAUCAGAAAGCUAAGUUAACUGGAAGAAAUUUGUCUGAAAAUUCUAGUCACUCUGGUUUUACUAAAGUUUAUUAGACUUAAGGUUUGAAAACAGCAUUACUGAAUGCAACCUGACCAGCACAAGCCAUUCUUAUCCAACAUUUAAUGUUUUGAGUUUAUUUACAAAACCACUGAUGCCUACAUAAAGACUUGUAUGUGAAUAGUCAUUGCAGUGUUACUCAUAAUAUUCCAAAACUGGAAACAAUCUGAAUGCCCACCAACUGAUGAAUAAAUGAAAUGUAUAUCCAAA
This is an RNA transcript of Suricata suricatta (meerkat), 2549 nucleotides long. It is a transcript of the gene named RNA polymerase II subunit D, with no coding region annotated. The transcript has 5 exons. The record is from RefSeq and is a predicted model, not a curated record. NCBI's taxonomy places the organism in Eukaryota, Metazoa, Chordata, Mammalia, Carnivora, Herpestidae.